UCUACGGGUGGCUGCAGUAGGGAAUAUUGCUCAAUGGGGGAAACCCUGAAGCAGCGACGCCGCGUGAGUGAAGAAGUAUUUCGGUACGUAAAGCUCUAUCAGCAGGGAAGAAAAUGACGGUACCUGACUAAGAAGCCCCGGCUAACUACGUGCCAGCAGCCGCGGUAAUACGUAGGGGGCAAGCGUUAUCCGGAUUUACUGGGUGUAAAGGGAGCGUAGACGGCAGCGCAAGUCUGGAGUGAAAUCCCAUGGCUUAACCAUGGAACUGCUUUGGAAACUGUGCAGCUGGAGUGCAGGAGAGGUAAGCGGAAUUCCUAGUGUAGCGGUGAAAUGCGUAGAUAUUAGGAGGAACACCGGUGGCGAAGGCGGCCUGCUGGACUGUGACUGACGUUGAGGCCCAAAGGCGUGGGGAGCAAACAGGAUUAGAUACCCCGGUAGUC
RNAcentral lists this ribosomal RNA (440 nucleotides) under uncultured bacterium. RNAcentral's name for it is "partial 16S ribosomal RNA". It matches the Rfam family "Bacterial small subunit ribosomal RNA", at positions 338 to 795 of the family's 1533-position model. The record is from RNAcentral.